This 492-nucleotide ribosomal RNA is filed under the name uncultured bacterium. RNAcentral describes it as "partial 16S ribosomal RNA". It matches the Rfam family "Bacterial small subunit ribosomal RNA", at positions 28 to 507 of the family's 1533-position model. The record is from RNAcentral.
GAUGAACGCUGGCUACAGGCUUAACACAUGCAAGUCGAGGGGAAACGGCAUUGAGUGCUUGCACUGAAUGGACGUCGACCGGCGCACGGGUGAGUAACGCGUAUCCAACCUUCCCGUUACUGCGGGAUAACCUGCCGAAAGGCAGACUAAUACCGCAUGUUCUUCGAUGGCGGCAUCAGAUUCGAAGCAAAGAUCCGUCGGUAACGGAGGGGGAUGCGUCUGAUUAGCUAGUUGGCGGGGCGACGGCCCACCAAGGCGACGAUCAGUAGGGGUUCUGAGAGGAAGGUCCCCCACAUUGGAACUGAGACACGGUCCAAACUCCUACGGGAGGCAGCAGUGAGGAAUAUUGGUCAAUGGGCGGAAGCCUGAACCAGCCAAGUAGCGUGCAGGAUGACGGCCCUACGGGUUGUAAACUGCUUUUAUGCGGGGAUAAAGUGAGGGACGCGUCCCUUUUUGCAGGUACCGCAUGAAUAAGGACCGGCUAAUUCCGUG